CCCUAGUAGCGGCGAGCGUAGCGGGAAGAGCUCAAAUUUGUAAUCUGGCACCUUCGGUGUCCGAGUUGUAAUCUCUAGAAGUGUUUUCCGCGUUGGACCGCACACAAGUCUGUUGGAAUACAGCGGCAUAGUGGUGAUACCCCAUUACACGGUGCGGACGCCCAGCGCUUUGUGAUACACUUUCGACGAGUCGAGUUGUUUGGGAAUGCAGCUCAAAUUGGGUGGUAAAUUCCAUCUAAAGCUAAAUAUUGGCGAGAGACCGAUAGCGAACAAGUACCGUGAGGGAAAGAUGAAAAGCACUUUGGAAAGAGAGUUAAAAGUACGUGAAAUUGUUGGAAGGGAAACGCUUGAAGUCAGACUUGCUUGCCGGGCUUGCUCGGUUUGCAGGCCAGCAUCAGUUUUCCGGGGCGGAUAAUGGCAGUUAGAAUGUAGCAGUCUCGGCUGUGUUAUAGCUUUCUGCUGGAUACGUCCUGGGGGACUGAGGAACGCAGCGUGCCGUAUGGCGAGGGCUUCGGUCCUUUCACGCUUAGGAUGCUGG
This 538-nucleotide ribosomal RNA is filed under the name Rhodotorula toruloides. Its description in RNAcentral is "eukaryotic LSU rRNA". It matches the Rfam family "Eukaryotic large subunit ribosomal RNA", at positions 78 to 629 of the family's 3401-position model. The record is from RNAcentral. Lineage: Eukaryota; Fungi; Basidiomycota; Microbotryomycetes; Sporidiobolales; Sporidiobolaceae.